RNAcentral lists this ribosomal RNA (303 nucleotides) under uncultured bacterium. RNAcentral describes it as "partial 16S ribosomal RNA". It matches the Rfam family "Bacterial small subunit ribosomal RNA", at positions 507 to 807 of the family's 1533-position model. The record is from RNAcentral.
AGCAGUCGCCACGGGAAUACGGAGGGUGCAAGCGUUAUCCGGAUUUAUUGGGUUUAAAGGGUCCGUAGGCGGAUCUGUAAGUCAGUGGUGAAAUCUCACAGCUUAACUGUGAAACUGCCAUUGAUACUGCAGGUCUUGAGUAAAUUUGAAGUGGCUGGAAUAAGUAGUGUAGCGGUGAAAUGCAUAGAUAUUACUUAGAACACCAAUUGCGAAGGCAGGUCACUAAGAUUUAACUGACGCUGAUGGACGAAAGCGUGGGGAGCGAACAGGAUUAGAUACCCCCGUAGUCCCUGUCUCUUAUAC